UCCGGAAUUAUUGGGCGUAAAGCGUCUGCAGGUUGAUGUAAAAGUCUUUUGUUAAAUCUCAGAGCUCAACUCGGAAUCUGCAAAAGGAAACUAUAUGUCUAGAGUAUGGGUAGGGGUAGAGGGAAUUUCUAGUGGAGCGGUGAAAUGCGUAGAUAUUAGAAAGAACACCAAGAGCGAAGGCACUCUACUGGGCCAGUACUGACACUCAGAGACGAAAGCUAGGGGAGCAAACGGGAUUAGAUACCCCGGUAGUCCUAGCCGUAAACGAUGGAUACUAGAUGUUGCAUACUUUUAUAGUACGCAGUGUCGUAGCUAACGCGUUAAGUAUCCCGCCUGGGAAGUAUGCGCGCAAGCGUGAAACUCAAAGGAAUUGACGGGGGCCCGCACAAGCGGUGGAGCAUGUGGUUUAAUUCGAUGCAACACGAAGAACCUUACCAGGACUUGACAUGAAGAGAAGUUUUUGAAAGAAGAAUGUGCUACGGCCUCUUACACAGGUGGUGCAUGGCU
This 507-nucleotide ribosomal RNA is filed under the name uncultured bacterium. RNAcentral's name for it is "bacterial SSU rRNA". It matches the Rfam family "Bacterial small subunit ribosomal RNA", at positions 544 to 1050 of the family's 1533-position model. The record is from RNAcentral.